Molecule: ribosomal RNA, 502 nt
Filed under: uncultured bacterium
Lineage: Bacteria
Description: bacterial SSU rRNA
Rfam family: Bacterial small subunit ribosomal RNA
Source: RNAcentral
AGAGUUUGAUCCUGGCUCAGGACGAACGCUGGCGGCGCGCCUAACACAUGCAAGUCGAACGGAGCUGAGAGGAGCUUGCUUUUCUUAGCUUAGUGGCGAACGGGUGAGUAACGCGUGAGUAACCUGCCCUGGAGUGGGGGACAACAGUUGGAAACGACUGCUAAUACCGCAUAAGCCCACGGAUCCGCAUGGAUCUGCGGGGAAAGGAUUUAUUCGCUUCAGGAUGGACUCGCGUCCAAUUAGCUAGUUGGUGAGGUAACGGCCCACCAAGGCGACGAUUGGUAGCCGGACUGAGAGGUUGAACGGCCACAUUGGGACUGAGACACGGCCCAGACUCCUACGGGAGGCAGCAGUGGGGGAUAUUGCACAAUGGGGGAAACCCUGAUGCAGCGACGCCGCGUGGAGGAAGAAGGUUUUCGGAUUGUAAACUCCUGUCGUUAGGGACGAUAAUGACGGUACCUAACAAGAAAGCACCGGCUAACUACGUGCCAGCAGCCGCGGU